Molecule: ribosomal RNA, 490 nt
Filed under: uncultured bacterium
Lineage: Bacteria
Description: bacterial SSU rRNA
Rfam family: Bacterial small subunit ribosomal RNA
Source: RNAcentral
AUUGAACGCUGGCGGCAUGCUUUACACAUGCAAGUCGAGCGGCAGCGCGGGGGCAACCUUGGCGGCGAGCGGCGAACGGGUGAGUAAUGCAUCGGAACGUAUCCUGUAGUGGGGAAUAACUCACCGAAAGGUGAGCUAAUACCGCAUAAGCUCUGAGGAGGAAAGCGGGGGACCGAAAGGCCUCGCGCUGCAGGAGCGGCCGAUGUCCGAUUAGCUAGUUGGUGAGGUAAAGGCUCACCAAGGCGACGAUCGGUAGCUGGUCUGAGAGGAUGAUCAGCCACACUGGGACUGAGACACGGCCCAGACUCCUACGGGAGGCAGCAGUGGGGAAUUUUGGACAAUGGGGGAAACCCUGAUCCAGCCAUGCCGCGUGAGUGAAGAAGGCCUUCGGUUGUAAAGCUCUUUCGGUACGGAACGAAUUAGCUUGGACGUAAUACUCUGAGUAGAUGACGGUACCGUAAGAAGAAGCACCGGCUAACUACGUGCCAGC